CUUAACACAUGCAAGUCGAGCGGUAACAGGAGAAAGCUUGCUUUCUUGCUGACGAGCGGCGGACGGGUGAGUAAUGUAUGGGGAUCUGCCCGAUAGAGGGGGAUAACUACUGGAAACGGUGGCUAAUACCGCAUAAUGUCUACGGACCAAAGCAGGGGCUCUUCGGACCUUGCACUAUCGGAUGAACCCAUAUGGGAUUAGCUAGUAGGUGGGGUAAAGGCUCACCUAGGCGACGAUCUCUAGCUGGGCUGAGAGGAUGAUCAGCCACACUGGGACUGAGACACCGCCCAGACUCCUACGGGAGGCAGCAGUGGGGAAUAUUGCACAAUGGGCGCAAGCCUGAUGCAGCCAUGCCGCGUGUAUGAAGAAGGCCUUAGGGUUGUAAAGUACUUUCAGCGGGGAGGAAGGUGAUAAGGUUAAUACCCUUGUCAAUUGACGUACCC
This 443-nucleotide ribosomal RNA is filed under the name Proteus mirabilis. Its description in RNAcentral is "bacterial SSU rRNA". It matches the Rfam family "Bacterial small subunit ribosomal RNA", at positions 47 to 480 of the family's 1533-position model. Lineage: Bacteria; Pseudomonadati; Pseudomonadota; Gammaproteobacteria; Enterobacterales; Morganellaceae. The record is from RNAcentral.